RNAcentral lists this ribosomal RNA (383 nucleotides) under uncultured eukaryote. RNAcentral describes it as "partial 18S ribosomal RNA". It matches the Rfam family "Eukaryotic small subunit ribosomal RNA", at positions 592 to 976 of the family's 1831-position model. The record is from RNAcentral.
CAAUAGCGUAUAUUAAAGUUGUUGCAGUUAAAAAGCUCGUAGUUGGAUUUCUGGUGGGAGCGAUCGGUCUGGCGCUUAGCGCGAGUACUUGCAUCGUCUCCGGCCAUCCUUGGGGAGAGUCUGUCUGGCAUUAAGUUGUCGGGCAGAGGAUCCUCAUCGUUUACUGUGAAAAAAUUAGAGUGUUCAAAGCAGGCUUAUGCCGUUGAAUAUAUUAGCAUGGAAUAAUAAGAUAGGACUUUGGUACUAUUUUGUUGGUUUGCGCACCAAAGUAAUGAUUAAUAGGGACAGUUGGGGGUAUUCGUAUUCCGUUGUCAGAGGUGAAAUUCUUGGAUUUACGGAAGACGAACUACUGCGAAAGCAUUUACCAAGGAUGUAUUCAUUAA